CCCGCCACACACACACACACACACACACACACACACACUCGCUGGUCGCGGGCAGAGCGCUGAGAGCAGCGUCGGGAGCCAGCCCUUGGCAGCGCCGCCGCCGCCGCCGCCGCGCUCGAUGUGUGUGUGCCGCGGGGGCUCGGCGCAGGCUGGGCGGGGGGCGCCGUGUGCGUGCGUUCCUUCUCCAACCUUCCCGUCUGCGAGCCCCGCCGCCGCCGCCGCUCUCCUUCGCCCGGGCGGCUCGCACGCAGCGCACACCCCAAACAGGCAUCUGUAUGGGUUGCAACAAUGCUUGGGCCCUGGAGAUUUCAGGCUCAGAGUUAAAAUGUACGCUUGCUGCUCUACAGUAACUUUGGAACAGGACCCCAACAAAAAAAUGCAUAUCUGGAUGCUGCAGACGAUAGCGGUUGCUUUAACAUCGCUAGUCCUGUCGUGGGCAGAAAGCAUCGAGUAUUAUGGGGAAAUCUGCGAUAAGGCGUGUCCUUGCGAGGAAAAGGACAGCAUCUUAACGGUGAGCUGUGAAAACAGAGGGAUCAUCAGCCUUUUCGAGAUUAGCCCACCAAGAUUCCCUGUCUAUCACCUCUUGUUGUCUGGGAACCUUUUAAACAGACUCUACCCAAACCAGUUUGUUAAUUACACUGGGGCUUCGAUUUUGCAUUUAGGGAGCAAUGACAUACAAGACAUCGAAACGGGGGCCUUUCAUGGUCUGCGGGGCUUAAGGAGGCUGCACCUGAACAAUAACAAGCUGGAACUAUUAAGGGAUGACACUUUCCUUGGUCUGGAGAGUUUGGAGUAUCUACAAGUCGAUUAUAAUUACAUCAGCACUAUUGAACCCAAUGCUUUCAGCAAACUGCAUUUGCUGCAGGUGCUGAUCCUCAAUGAUAACCUCCUCUCCAGUUUGCCCAACAACCUUUUCCGUUUUGUGCCCUUAACUCACCUGGACUUGAGGGGUAACCGGCUGAAGCUGCUGCCCUACCUGGGCCUUUUGCAGCACAUGGAUAAAGUGGUGGAGCUGCAGCUAGAGGAGAACCCCUGGAAUUGUUCUUGCGAGUUGAUCGCUCUGAAGGAUUGGCUAGACAGUAUCUCCUACUCGGCUCUGGUGGGGGACGUGGUUUGUGAAACCCCUUUCCGCUUGCACGGCCGAGACUUGGAUGAGGUCUCCAAGCAGGAGCUUUGUCCUAGGAGACUCAUCUCGGAUUAUGAAAUGCGGCCGCAGACGCCUUUGAGCACCACAGGGUAUUUCCACACUACCCCAGCCUCGGUCAACUCCGUGGCCACUUCUUCCUCGGCUGUUUACAAAUCCCCCUUGAAGCCCCCUAAAGGGACCCGUCAACCCAACAAGACCAGGGUGCGCCCCACCUCCCGCCUGCCCUCCAAAGAUCUGGGAUACAGCAACUACGGUCCCAGCAUCGCCUACCAGACCAAAUCCCCGGUGCCUCUGGAGUGUCCCACCGCCUGCACUUGCAACCUGCAGAUCUCCGACCUGGGCCUCAAUGUCAAUUGCCAGGAGAGGAAGAUCGAAAGUAUCUCCGAGCUACAGCCCAAACCCUACAACCCCAAGAAGAUGUAUUUGACCGAGAACUACAUCGCCCUGGUACGCAGGGCGGAUUUCCUGGACGCCACCGGGCUGGAUUUGUUGCACCUGGGCAACAACCGGAUUUCGGUCAUUCAGGACCGGGCCUUUGGGGAUCUAACUAAUUUGAGAAGACUCUAUCUGAACGGGAACCGGAUCGAGCGGCUGAGCGCGGAGCUGUUCUACGGGCUGCAAAGCCUGCAGUACCUCUUCCUGCAGUACAACGUCAUCCGGGACAUCGAGGCGGGCACCUUUGAAUCAGUCCCCAACCUCCAGCUCUUGUUUUUGAACAACAACCUGCUGAGAUCUUUGCCCGCCAACAUUUUUUCCGGCCUGACUCUCUACAGGCUGAGCCUGAGGAGCAACCACUUCUCCUACCUGCCUGUGAGCGGGGUGCUGGACCAGCUGAAAUCCCUGCUGCAGAUCGACCUGCACGAGAACCCCUGGGAUUGCACCUGCGACGUGGUGGGCAUGAAGCUGUGGCUGGAGCAGCUCAACACCGGGGUGCUGGUGGACCAGGUCAUCUGCGAGUCCCCCAAGAAGUUCGGCCAGAGCGACAUGCGGACCAUCAGGUCGGAGCUGCUGUGCCCGGACUACUCCGACAUCAUCGUCUCCACCCCCACCCCCUCCUCCAUCCAGCUGCCGGGCGGGAGCACCCUUUUCUCCGCCACCGUGCGGCUCAACAGCACGGGCGAGGCGGGGGGCGCGGCGCCCCCGGGCGGCGGGGGCGGAUCCCCCUCGUCCUCGGUGCCGCUGUCGGUGCUGAUCCUGAGCCUGCUGCUGGUGUUCAUCAUGUCGGUGUUCGUGGCGGCGGGGCUCUUCGUGCUGGUGAUGAAGCGGCGGAAGAAGGGCCCGGGCGACCCGGCCAGCGCCAACAACUCCGACGUGAGCUCCUUCAACAUGCAGUACAGCGUCUACGGCAGCGGCCACCACCACCACCCGGCGCCGCAGCAGCCCCGCCACCCGCGCGGCGCCGGCGGCGGCCCGGUCCUGCCCAAGGUAAAGACCCCCGCCGGCCACGUGUACGAGUACAUCCCGCACCCGCUGGGCCACAUGUGCAAGAACCCCAUCUACCGCUCCCGGGAGGGCAACGCGGGCGAGGAUUACAAAGACCUGCACGAGCUCAAGGUCACCUACAGCAACCACCACUUGCAGCAAGGGCCUCCGCCCCCGCCGCCCCCGGGGGAGGGGGAGCCCCUGCGGAGCCCCACUUACAGCGUCAGCACCAUCGAGCCCCGGGACGAGCUGCUCUCCCCGGUGCAAGACGCCGAUCGCUUUUACAGGGGCAUUUUGGAGCCCGAUAAACACUCCUCCUCCUCGCUGGGCACCCCCGGCAAUAAUCUCCCCGAUUACCCCAAGUUCCCCGCCGCCUACACCUACUCCCCCAACUAUGACCUUAUGCGGCCCCAUCAGUACUUGCACCCCGGGGCGGGGGACAGCAGGCUCCGGGAGACGGUGCUCUACAGCCCCCCGAGUACUGUCUAUGUAGAGCCCAACAGGAACGAGUAUCUGGAGUUAAAAGCAAAACUAAACGCAGAGCCGGACUACCUCGAAGUGCUGGAAAAACAGACCACAUUUAGCCAGUUCUGAGACCCCCCCCCCCCCCCCAACAACCACAGCAACUCCUCCUCCUCCUUUAGAGUAUUUGUAUUUAACAACCACACACAAAACAAAGAAACACAAAUGCUGACCCCCCCCCCCCCCCCUUUCCCCUUUUAACUCAUUUUCUUGUAGGGUGAAGUGCCUUGGCACAGGAUUUUCAGCUUCGGGGAAUGAUACUGAAAGGGUGUGCUGUUUCAUUUUUAUUUUUACAAGUAGGAAACAAUCUAUUGUGUAAACUGGGCAUAACACUUGCCCUUGUGUGUUUGGGUGUCUGUGUGUUCGGGAGGGGGGAAAGAGGGUUUACUUAGGUCAGAUUGUGCAGGUUACAAGUACAAAAGUCAUGGUCACUUUCAUUUUGUUGGACAGACAUUGCUUAGUUUUAUUUUCUCUUUGGUUGAAGAGUGCAGCGCAUGUUUUCCCCUUUUAGCUCUGGGUGAGUCUAUAUGGCUUUUAAGGAGAGAUUUGCACACCCAAUUUAAUACAAGGUUUCCUUUUUUAAAGGAUGUGUUUGUAUGCUUUCUGGACUUUUGAAUUAAAAAAAAAAAUAUAUAUAUAUAUAUGAUCUUUAAAAAGAUCACCAGAGAUGUGGACAAAUCAUUAAAGAGGGCAGAGAUAUAUGAUCCAUAACUGGUUAGUGAAAAUAACUUAUUGAUGAACUAUACAAAUAUUUUAUUGUAGCACCUAUUUUUAUAUGUGCAUUAGCAUUUCUCUUUCCUUCACUAUUUUAGGGCCCAGUCUUGCAAAUACUUACAUACCCAAGUAACUCUAUUCAUGAAAGUAGUCUUGGCAUAGGCACCCAUCCUGCAAACACUUAGGCAAAUGAACAACUUUGCUCAGGUGUGUAGUCCCAUAGAUUUCAGUGAGUAAGUAAAGUUAGCCACAUGCCCAAAAGUUUGGAGGAUUGGGGCCAUAGUCAGUGCAACUGUUCUCAUAAGUAAAGUUACAUGGAAGUGUAAUUGUUUUUCAGGAUGGGGCCCAGAGUCUGUGAAUUGCUCAGAAGUGUUGCACUACAUGUAGAGCUUUAUUUCCAAAGCUGAAGUGGUAUCAGGAGGACAUUUUAAAUCACUAAAAUUAACAGUAAUUAUGACCAAAUCUUAAAAGACAAUCCAAGACAAGCAAUCUGGUCAGGAUAAAAUAAUACUGUAUUUAGAACCUCCUGCUAGGGCAACUAGUUGGACUAACUAGUGAGGGACAUGUGGAAAUGGUUGAUUUUAGCAGGAAAAUUGUUUCUUUUCAUUACUCAACCAAAAUAUAAUGAUUUGACUACUGUUGUAGCCAAUUUCUGAUUGUUUAGUCAAAUGCAAUUGCACUUGUACAGAUCCAUGUGUAUAUUGGCACUUCGAAAGACCAAAUGAUGGACUGUACAAAUCUCUAUAUAAUGUCUUUACCCUUUUGGGCAUCAGGCAAUGGAAAGGAUAUCCACAAAUACAGCAUCACUGUAAGAUGGGACAACUGGUGUCUCAUAUGUAUCCCAGCACAUGUAAUUUUUUAAAAUACUUUCUGAAUAAACACUUGAUAACUAUUUCAAAUGUAAGGACAUCAAGUAAUGAUUACCUGAAGUUCACAAUAUCUUGCCAAAAUCAUACUUUGGUAUGUGAAACUGCCUUUACUAGCAAUCAAGUCUGAACAGAAAGGAACUAACAGUAUAAUCUGAUGUGUUCUUCAGGUUAUUUUCAAAACACUAUAUUGUAAUUUAUCAAGGUACCUGACAUGGAUCAGAACUGGACAUUGCUAUGUGAAUCACCAACAUUCUUAAUAGUACAGUUUCGUAUUUACAUUUUUUUUCCUUUCUAAAGUUUUCAUUUACUAUAUGGAUCAGGUUGUAUGGAAUUAUGGUGGUGCCAGAUAAUGGUGUAGGUCAGACAAUAAUUAUUUAAUGACUGUAGACACUGAGAUUCAAAAAGUUAAAACUUUAUAACCAUUCAAAUACAAAUUGUCAACAUCAUGUGUCAAAAUAUACAAAGUAAAUUCCCUGAAGUCAAACUCUAUUAAGUUAUCAAACAACAUUUUUCUUAUGUUGUCUUCAUGUAAAUUUUGAUUAUCAUCAAUGGAAAUAUCUUUUAGUCAGUUUGUGUGUAUAUAGAGACAUCAACAUUUAGUGAUAUUUACCAAUAAAAAUCUAAUCCUUCCAAACCUUUGAAUAAGGACUGCAGGAUCUGAAUGAAGUUCAGUUAGAGAUGACAUUUUUCCAACUUUGGUGGCUGAAGAUAGGCUCCAAAAUCCACAUUUAGGCACCUAAAUAAGAAUGUCUGCUUGAUUUCUAAAGAUGAUGAAUAUCUGCAGCACCCAUGGAUUUCACUGCAAAAAUGACACAUUGGACUUUUACAAUUCAUUAAUUUUUAGUCAUCUCCGGUUAUUAUUAAUAACACAGAUAAAUGUGUUUGUAUAAAAAUAUGAUUUUUAAGUUGACAGCAUCCUUUAUACUUGACAGAAACAUCUACUUUGUAAGAGAGGUUUUCAUUUGUAAUGUAAAUCAAAAGUCUAGCUACUGUUAGUGCUUUUAAAACCUGGCCAUCUGGAGAGAAGGGGAGGAGGUUGUUUUGGCCUGUCUUAUCUUUGCAUAACUUUAUAAAAAUCCAUCCAGCCUCAUUUAAUACAUGAGUUUGAACAUCCUGUACUUUAAAGACUGGAAUUAUGGUGUCAUAAAAAAUCACACUGACAGGAAAAAUGUUCAUCAGAGGUAUUAAAAUUGCUACAGCAAACUGAAGUAUGAAAUUAAGAUGUGGUAUUCUAUGAAUACAACAUACAUUUUCAAGAGGGGUUUGUUGACAACUAAUUCAUAACAAUCUGUCUUGCAUACACAUAACACCUUUCAUCCCAAAGGAUUCUAAAUUGUCUUACAAAAUUUGUGCCUUCUCCUGUUUAUUGAAGUCAAUGGGAGCACUGCCUAUGGGAGCAAGACUUGGCACUUAAUAAGUUAAUAAAAAUUAUGCAUAAGGAUCACUUCACCUACCACUCAAAUGCUUAACAAUAUAUAGCAACACUAUUCAACAAUGUAGGAUAGAAAGUGAAUAUUAUUAUAUCCAGGUGAUAUUGCUUGAUGAAUUUAAGUAGGAAAAAUAUAAUUUAUUCAAAUAGGAAUAUGGAACAGAUAUUAGCUUUAAUAUCCCAGCUCUUGGUUAAGACUUUCAUUUUAGGAUUCACCCAACACAUGCUAUACUGUAGUAUUUUUACAUGUAUUGGAACUGUUAGCUACAGCAGUUUUAAUCAAUUUGGUGUCACUUUCAUUGUUCAUCUAAUAUGUUUUGGACUUUAAAGUGACAUACACCCAGUUUUUUGGCCUCAGGUUUACAUUUUUUGCUGCCAUGAAAGCUAAAUAAUUUCAAGUCUAUCUGAAGAAUGCUGGAAAAAUAUUUUCUAAUACAAUAAAACAAAAUUCUCCCAACGCUGCAUACUUUUUGACUGAUUACAUUUCUUUUGGUGCCUGAGGGACACUGAGUGUUCAAACUAGUGUUUGGCACAUGCAUAUAUAUUCCUGCAUUUUAUAUAUUAUGCUAUGGGUGCCAGAAGAGGCUUAGGGCAAGAUUUGCAUUUUUCAUGCUUCAGCUGCCAGUUGUAAGCAAGCCUAAUGCCAUCCAAUCUGAUUUUUUUUAGACUGUAGGUCCUUCUAUAUGAUCUCUUGUCACAAUUACAUGAAUACUAAAGGUGACCUGCAAAGGGUAGCACAAAAUUGCAAAAGGGCUUAUACCCUAUUUUGAAUCUUUAUGAUCCCUAAAGAAGGCCUGAAACGUUUUUGUUGGGAAAAAAGUCUCCUUUUUUGUUUGUUUUUGUUUUUUGUUAGGUUUAUUACCCAAGGAAGAUUUGACGGUGACAGGAGAAUAAGUGAAAUUAUAACAUCACAGCUGACAAAAGGUGAAACUUGUGCUGCUAAGGGAGGAAUAAUUUUGUAGUCAGACUUCGUAAAGUACUUUGGCUGCUCACGAAAGCUUAUGCUCAGAUAAAUUUGUUAGUCUCUAAGGUGCCACAAGUACUCCUUUUCUUUUUGCUUUCUUUUGUUAACGCUUAUUUACAUCUAAUGAUUAAUAUACAGUUUUGGAAGAAAAAGAUGUUUUUGUUAAAGCUACAGAAUGUGAUAGCUCACAAUAAACUGCUUUGAGAGUAAUUAGCCAUUGGAAUAAUUUUCUAGGAAUCUGCUGGAUUCUCCAUUAAAUGAAGUCUUUAAAUCAGGACUAGAUAUCUUUCUAAAAUAUAUGUGAUAGCUCAAACAGAAAAUUGUGGGUUUGAUACAGAGAUUAUUGGGUGAGAUCCUUUGGCCUGUGUUAUGCAGGAAGUCAGACUAGAUGAUCAUAAUGCUGUCUUCUGGCCUUAAAAUCUGAUUCUGUGAAAUCCCUAAGAUAUCCUCCAGUAAAGCUAUGAAAGGUAAAACUUGUCAUCCCUGAUCUUUCUAAGGUAAAAAAUGAGCAGAGGGAAAGAAAAAAAGGCACAAAUUCAAUUCUCAAAUAAUCAUUUGUAGGUCACCUUUAAUAAAUACAAAAGAAUUCCUGCUUGUAAUUGAACUGCCUUUGCUCUGCUGCAUCAGAAUGCAAGGCCCUAAAGUAGCUUCACAAAGGCAUACUGCACCCCCAGUGCAUCAUUGGAGCAAUGCUGUGUAGCAGCUGUCUUUGAAAGACGGUGUUAAUGGAGGCCGUCUUGUAGGCAAGUUGUUAGGUAUACAGACUAAACAUCUCCCCCUACUGGGACUAUAAUGUUCCACAGCCUGUAUUACAUCUGUGAAAAGACUGAAUCUGGGUUGAAUGGACAAGUGCUCCUGUUUUUUCACCAACUUUCCUGGUUAGGUCAAUCUUAUAGAAUCUGAUGAAAAUUUCUUUACAGUCUGUUUUUUUCAGAUAUAAUGUAGGACUUCUGAUUUUUGGUUUUAACCAAAUAAAACACUCCCCAUACCCCCCCCCCCACAUCAAUGUUUGUUCAGUAAGCCCCAGAAAAAGCACUGGAAAUGGUUGUUUAUAUCUAAGGGCUUGUCUACACAGAGCAGUACUGCGGACUACGGGGUCUGAUUUCUAAAGUGCAGUAAUGUGUUGUGCAUGAAUUGUUCAAUAUGGACCUUGCUGUUGCACACUAAAGGUUCCCUGGUGCACUUUAACACAGUGCUGUUUGAAACAGUACUAUGUGAAAGUGCACUGGGGAACAUUAAAAAGAAAUUACUCUUUAUGGUGUAUACAAAGAGAAAGCCCCCAAACCUCCUGAUUUUUGGACAUCUACAUAAAACUCAAAAUUGCUAACAAAUAACCCCCAAAAAUGAAAUUGAUAAAACCCCAAAACAGAAGCCCUAUAUAAUGCAUCAAAUCUACAAAAGGUACAGACAGUUGUGCAGAAAUAUCUAAGAUUAGGGACUGUAUGGUUUUCUUAUUUUCUUUCAAACAUGUUUACAAAACUCUAAAAAGUAUAUUAAGUUCAUAAAUAUACUUUAAAAAAUCCUGAUUAUUAUGUCAUGGACUUCCUUAAUAGAUUGUUGUUUGUAGCAUCUAUCAGAUGGCAAAGUCAGGUAUUGAAACAUCUUUUUUAUAAAAUGAGGAAACAAACAUUCAUUAAUUGAUGAUUCAGAACUGGUGGAAUUUAGCACUUGAGUCAAAAACAGGAUUAGGUUUUAACCUCAGGACAGAAUUACUUUAUGGGUAAUGGUAAUUGAAUCUUAUCUUUACAUUUCCUUUAGUUAUUUCUUACAUAAGGACUGAACUUGAACUUCUUAGGGAACACCCUUUUUGAAAUCAGAGGGAGUUCUGCCUGAGUAAGGAGUGCAAAUUUUACUCUUAAUCUUUAAAUAAUUUAAUUUAUAUAAUCCUGUGCAGCGUGUGCUAAUUAAAGGGCUGAGUGACUUAUGCAAUAUGAAACUGAUAUGUGCAACUGGUAUUACAAAACUAUUAUAUCUGAUUAGGGCCAAAUACUGCAGCCCUGGCUUAAGUGUGCCUUGCUCACACAUUAGGUUCUUCAGGCCUCUGCGUCAUAUUUGUUUACUCCACUAAUAAUUUUGUUGUAAGGUUUUUACUGCAUAGCACAUACUUUUUCUUUUCUAGAAACAUUUCUCCCUUUAGUUCCAUGAAUGAUUUGUUUGUCAUUAGCAUACAGGUGAACAUUUCAGAAAACAUGAAUUUCUGCAUUAUAAAGUGGCAUAGAAAUAACGCAUACUCAAUAUAGAAGAAGAUAAUAUUUCCUAAGAAAAAUUAUACAAUUAUAUGUUUUGAAUUUUUCCAGAUAUAUUUUUAAUUUAUAAAUAAAAAUCUUGCUACUAUGCAAAAUAUAAUGUUAUCUAAAAUAUAUAUUGCAUACUAGUUACCUGGCUUAUUUAAUUCAAAAACAUGGACAAAAAUUUCAUACUGUUGAUAAUUUUUUGACAACCAUAUUGCCUUUAAUGUAAAAAACUAAAGUUAGUAUAGUAGUGGACUUAAAAAAAAGUUAGAAACCAGCUACAUUGGGUUUAGUUUAAUUAUUUGCACAUUUUAUACUGUAAAAGCAUAAUUAGUGUACAGUAGUAGCCUGAGAAACUAUGAUAAAAUCCACAUUUUCAUACUGUAUUCACACAUUUUUCUCAUUAAUGUAAACUAUGAAACAAUCCAUUUUUGCCAAUGUAAUAUCUUAUUAAAGUUUCUACGUAUUUUUUAUUAAACUGAAAUUUAAAGGAUUAAUUCCUUUAAGAAUUGUUUUAUGUAUGGUAGAAAAAGCCAUAUUCAGGAACAUAGACUGUCAAGUGAUACUGUUUCUUUCAAUGGUUUCAAAUGGUUUGAUGUUAAAUAGCAUGUACAUUAAAGUGCAAUUCAGUAGCAAAAAUACGACUUUUCAAUUGCAUACAGAUUGCUCGUGUUUAGGGUCCAAGCACUUAAGCAUGUAAUUAACUACAUUACUGUAAGGCAUUCCUAUCAAUGUCGGUAACUCAUGGAAUUAAAGUUACUCACAUGUCUAUGGGUUUGUAGGUUUGGGCCAUGAGUAUCUGCGCACCUGAUCUGCAGGCAAAAUUUCUGCAGACUUCACUGGCCUCUUAACCUCACAGGAUUGAGUCAUAGACUUUUGCCUAACAAUUUGCUCUUAGAAUGAAAAAAAAACAAACAAUACAUUUUCCCAUUUUGUAAUAAUUUUCUUUAUAGAAGAAUAAAGUACAGAGAUCAAAUAACACUAACACAUCAUCUAUAUAGUGAGUUUACCGUACAGAAUAAU
RNA transcript from Chelonia mydas (Green sea turtle), 10321 nucleotides. It is a transcript of the gene named SLIT and NTRK like family member 5, with no coding region annotated. The record is from RefSeq and is a predicted model, not a curated record. Lineage: Eukaryota; Metazoa; Chordata; Testudines; Cheloniidae. The transcript has 3 exons.